Molecule: ribosomal RNA, 465 nt
Filed under: uncultured Klebsiella sp.
Lineage: Bacteria; Pseudomonadati; Pseudomonadota; Gammaproteobacteria; Enterobacterales; Enterobacteriaceae
Description: bacterial SSU rRNA
Rfam family: Bacterial small subunit ribosomal RNA
Source: RNAcentral
CCUACGGGCGGCUGCAGUGGGGAAUAUUGCACAAUGGGCGCAAGCCUGAUGCAGCCAUGCCGCGUGUGUGAAGAAGGCCUUCGGGUUGUAAAGCACUUUCAGCGGGGAGGAAGGCGGUGAGGUUAAUAACCUCAUCGAUUGACGUUACCCGCAGAAGAAGCACCGGCUAACUCCGUGCCAGCAGCCGCGGUAAUACGGAGGGUGCAAGCGUUAAUCGGAAUUACUGGGCGUGAAGCGCACGCAGGCGGUCUGUCAAGUCGGAUGUGAAAUCCCCGGGCUCAACCUGGGAACUGCAUUCGAAACUGGCAGGCUAGAGUCUUGUAGAGGGGGGUAGAAUUCCAGGUGUAGCGGUGAAAUGCGUAGAGAUCUGGAGGAAUACCGGUGGCGAAGGCGGCCCCCUGGACAAAGACUGACGCUCAGGUGCGAAAGCGUGGGGAGCAAACAGGAUUAGAUACCCCAGUAGUC